Non-coding RNA from Ictidomys tridecemlineatus (thirteen-lined ground squirrel), 72 nucleotides. The record is from Rfam. NCBI's taxonomy places the organism in Eukaryota, Metazoa, Chordata, Mammalia, Rodentia, Sciuridae.
UGGGAUGUAGCUUAGUGGUAGAGCUCCUGCCUGAUAGGCAUUAGACCCUGUGAUCAAACUCCAGCACCACAA